AAUGAACGCUGGCGGCGCGCCUAAUACAUGCAAGUCGAGCGAGAAGACGUAGCAAUACGUUUGUAAAGCGGCGAACGGGUGAGGAAUACAUGGGUAACCUACCCUCGAGUGGGGAAUAACUAGCCGAAAGGUUAGCUAAUACCGCGUACGCUCCUUGGACUUCGGUUCAGGGAGGAAAGCGAUACCGUGGGUAUCGCGCUCUUGGUUGGGCUCAUGUCCUAUCAGCUUGUUGGUGAGGAACGGCUCACCAAGGCUUCGACGGGUAGCUGGUCUGAGAGGACGAUCAGCCACACUGGCACUGCGACACGGGCCAGACUCCUACGGGAGGCAGCAGUAAGGAAUAUUGCGCAAUGGGCGAAAGCCUGACGCAGCGACGCCGCGGUGGGGGAUGAAGGUCUUCGGAUUGUAAACCCCUUUCGGGAGGGAAGAUGGAACGAGCAAUCGUUCGGACGGUACCUCCAGAAGCAGCCACGGCUAACUUCGUGCCA
This 488-nucleotide ribosomal RNA is filed under the name uncultured bacterium. Its description in RNAcentral is "bacterial SSU rRNA". It matches the Rfam family "Bacterial small subunit ribosomal RNA", at positions 29 to 510 of the family's 1533-position model. The record is from RNAcentral.